CUGAGGCUAAUUAACAAAAAAGUCCGAUUUUAACUGCGCAUCUUGAAAUACAUACAAAACGCUACCAACCGAAAUAUUGAAGAUGGGAGCGGGAUGGGAUUUUUUAUCAUCUUUAACAAAAUUGCAUUAUGAAGAGCUGUCGGAAUUAUAAGAAGGUCGUACUACGAUGAUGGAUCUUCUUCAUGCUUCGCCAUUCAAGGACCCGUUAAGCUUUCUCUCAGUGUCACAACACUACAUUUUAGGCAUUAAAAAUGUCUACGAGGACUGCCAACAAAAUCACUCCGAACUCAAAUUGGAUCUACAGUCAGAGGACUUCCUGGUAUAACCAUAUAGAUUCCAGAUCAGGUAUGUUUAAGGCUAUCAACCAAGAAAAUUCGAUGAAAUAUAUAAAAACAACCUACCAGCCAAAAUAUUGAAGAUGGAAGCGGAAAUUGUAUAUCAUCUUUGGCAAAAUGAAAUUCAAAAAAGAUUUCAGCAAAGCAUUGGCAUUAUGAAGAGCUGUCGGAAUUAUGAAGAAGUCUUGAUACGAUGACGGAUAUUCGUCGAUAUGUCUCGCAAUCCUCCCCAACUCGAAUUGAAUCUAUAGUCAGAGGCCUUCUCGGUAUGACAAAAUGAAAUUCGAAAAGAUUUCAUCAGGGCAUCGGUAUUAUGAAGUUAUGUCGGAAAUAUGAGGAGAUUUUGUUACGAUGAUGGCUCUUCUUCGUCAUGUUUCAAUAUAAAUUUAUUAUUGGUCACCCAUGUUUCGCCAUCCAAGGACCCGUUAAGCUCCCUCUCUAUCUCUCUCAAUGUCACAACACUUCAUUUUAGGCACUAAAAAUGUCUUCGAGGACCAAAAAAAUUUUCAUACCGAGCUCGAAUUAAAUCUACAGUCAGAGGCCUUCUUGGUAUGGCAAUGAAGAUUCC
Molecule: long non-coding RNA, 903 nt
Organism: Musca domestica (house fly)
Lineage: Eukaryota; Metazoa; Arthropoda; Insecta; Diptera; Muscidae
Exons: 3
Source: RefSeq, a predicted model, not a curated record